Molecule: ribosomal RNA, 213 nt
Filed under: uncultured bacterium
Lineage: Bacteria
Description: partial 16S ribosomal RNA
Rfam family: Bacterial small subunit ribosomal RNA
Source: RNAcentral
UACGGAGGGUGCGAGCGUUAUCCGGAUUCACUGGGUUUAAAGGGUGCGUAGGUGGGCAGGUAAGUCAGUGGUGAAAUCUCCGGGCUUAACCCGGAAACUGCCAUUGAUACUAUCAGUCUUGAAUACCGUGGAGGUAAGCGGAAUAUGUCAUGUAGCGGUGAAAUGCUUAGAUAUGACAUAGAACACCAAAUUGCGAAGGCAGCUUACUACCCC